CGCGGCCUAUCAGCUUGUUGGUGAGGUAACGGCUCACCAAGGCAUCGACGGGUAGCUGGUCUGAGAGGACGAUCAGACACACUGGGACUGAGACACGGCCCAGACUCCUACGGGAGGCAGCAGUAGGGAAUCUUGCGCAAUGGGCGAAAGCCUGACGCAGCAACGCCGCGUGGGGGAUGAAUGCCUUCGGGUUGUAAACCCCUUUCAGCAGGGACGAAAAUGACGGUACCUGCAGAAGAAGCUCCGGCCAACUACGUGCCAGCAGCCGCGGUAAUACGUAGGGAGCGAGCGUUGUCCGGAAUUAUUGGGCGUAAAGAGCUCGUAGGCGGUUCAGUAAGUCGGGUGUGAAAACUCAAGGCUCAACCUUGAGACGCCACUCGAUACUGCUGUGACUUGAGUCCGGUAGAGGAGUGUGGAAUUCCUGGUGUAGCGGUGAAAUGCGCAGAUAUCAGGAGGAACACCAGCGGCGAAGGCGGCACUCUGGGCCGGUACUGACGCUGAGGAGCGAAAGCAUGGGGAGCAAACAGGAUUAGAUACCCUGGUAGUCCAUGCCGUAAACGUUGGGCACUAGGUAUGGGAUCAUAUCAACGGAUUCCGUGCCGUAGCUAACGCAUUAAGUGCCCCGCCUGGGGAGUACGG
RNAcentral lists this ribosomal RNA (639 nucleotides) under uncultured Actinomycetes bacterium. Its description in RNAcentral is "bacterial SSU rRNA". It matches the Rfam family "Bacterial small subunit ribosomal RNA", at positions 232 to 885 of the family's 1533-position model. Lineage: Bacteria; Bacillati; Actinomycetota; Actinomycetes. The record is from RNAcentral.